UGCCCGGUCGUCUAACGGUAGGACCUCAGACUCUGAAUCUGAGUAUCCUGGUUCAAAUCCAGGCUGGGCAA
Molecule: transfer RNA, 71 nt
Filed under: Candidatus Roizmanbacteria bacterium CG2_30_33_16
Lineage: Bacteria; Candidatus Roizmaniibacteriota
Also listed under: 2 other names
Description: tRNA-Gln
Rfam family: tRNA
About the family: Transfer RNA (tRNA) molecules are approximately 80 nucleotides in length. Their secondary structure includes four short double-helical elements and three loops (D, anti-codon, and T loops).
Source: RNAcentral